This is a long non-coding RNA of Phasianus colchicus (ring-necked pheasant), 2360 nucleotides long. NCBI's taxonomy places the organism in Eukaryota, Metazoa, Chordata, Aves, Galliformes, Phasianidae. The record is from Ensembl.
GUCAGCUUGUGCUGGAAGUGGACGGUAUCAGAGUGUGAGUGAAGGGAUUCUUUCCAAAAGGAGAUUUUGGGGAUUGAGGCAGUUGAAGAAAGAGUGAAGCCAGGGGGCAGUCCCUGUGGAGAGGACCCCAGGAACUGAGCUUCCCCACCACUGUCUCAAUGAGAAGACAGACGCAGUUCCCAUUCCUGCUCUGCAUAUGGAAAAGUAUGGCUGGAUUUAUUUGUUUGGGUUUUCUUCCUUUCUCUCAUUUUGAAGGGGAAAAGCUGGAGCAGGGGGAGCACUACUGGUCCUUUGUUACCUCCAUAACCAGUUGGAUUCUGCAUGUGCUGCAACAGGACAGCAUUGCCAGGCUCCUUAAGCUGCUGGGGCAGGGUGGGAGCAAAGAGCGUGAACUGCCCUCCUGCCAGCUGCACCUAGUUAUGGUUUGCCGGGUCCCUGCUGCCCUGAAUUUCACCUGAAAGGUUUGUUCUAGCUGCUUGCAGUAGUAAAAUUUAGGGAAGAAAUGGAAGUCAAGAGCUAAGGCUCUGCACAAUAACUUUGCGUGGAUUGAACUAUGGCACCUGAAGACUGUUUCCUGAAUAAUGCUGGCAUUUUGCAGGUGUGUUGGUUUAACCCACUGAACUGAUGUCUGUGAGCGCCCGUCUUCUCCACCUGAACAGUAAGAAAGCUGGGAUAUGCCCAGAAAUUGCAGCAGUUGCUGUGAAUACUCUCCCAAAUGUUUGUUUCCUUUAGUGGUAGCUAAUGACUCAGCACUGUGAUAUCCUGUCUCUGGCACGAUCUGGAACGCUGCAUCUCUUUGCAAAUGUUGGGUGCCCAUUUCCAUGGACCCUCCUUUCUUUCUCUCCUCAGAAGCAGCACAGUGCGGUUCCCUGCGUUAGGGAGCAGCAGCCAGCAGGCUGCCAGAAUGCCAGCUGGGCCUUGCAGCGUGCAAAGGGACAUGUUGGGGAUGGACCAUCCUUAGCACCACGCAAAAAAAGUAAACAUGUCAUCAGAUGUUCUCCCUGGCAACUGGCACCUGGAUUAAAUUUAAGUUGUAAAGCAUCAGUCCAGUCUCCUGUAGUUAAUCUUUGUGGUUUAUAGUGUAACUAUCUUGUUCUGAAAUAGUGAAACAUACAGCCUCUCCAAAUGAGCAAAGUAGACCCUUCCAAGGUACAGUACAUUUCGUUCUAAUGUAGACAGCCAAACAAAGCUAGAUGAAUUGCAGUCUAAAGUUACUCAAACCUAAAAUUGCAUCCACUGAUUAUAAAAGGAAACUAAUUACAGACCACUCACAUCUGAAGGAAGAUUGCAGUUGAACAAUUUUAAAUCCUUGUAGUUAGUGAUGUCAGUAUAGACAUCCCAAGGAAUGGCUAAUUUCAUCCCAAAUUUUCUCUGGAAUGCAUCAGUUGAAGUAUGUUCUGAAAUAACCUGUUUUCUCCAGUUGUCUUUCGAGGGAGAUAAACAUGCCUAGAUUACAUGCAGACUUCCACUUUUCCCCAAAGAAAUCCCAUAGCAGUGUCUAAUUUUCCAAAGAAGUCAUCAGAACACUGGAAACAGGAAAAAAAAUCAAUUAUUACAUAUCUCAACAACCAAGAAUCAACAAUAUGACAGCCAUAGAAAACAAAUUAGUAUUUCUCAUGGAGCACAUCAAAUAAUUUCAUUUUCAUACAUUUUGAAUUAAACUGGAUUUUGAUUCAUCACCAUUUUUAGAAAGUAAAAUUUAUUUUAAAAGUCCUUCCAUUGAUCUAAAUCCUUUCAUUCGUCCCAAUUCUUUUUCUUCUUUUGAGGCAGGAGAAAGGAACAUGAGUUUUUACUUUCUUUACUUCAACAUCUUUUUUCCUUUUUGCUGCAAAUAUGUUAAGUUUGUAUGAAUGACUAUGUCUGCUUGUUAAUGCAUUAGGAUUCUGGGCAGCAAUGUUGAACGUACUGAAAAUGCUAAGAUAGAUAUUCAGGAGUAGAUAUUCAGACCUUUAAAAGUCUUUAAUGUAAAAAAGGUUUAGUUUACUUCCCUUACUAGUAAGAGAUGAAGUUGGUCUUGACAGUGGAAAUUAAAAUUUUCACAUUGUGCCUUGAAAUACACAAAAAAUCUUCAUAUUCUUUAUUUAAUCAUUGAAUAAUUAAGGAUGAGAAAGACUGCUAAGAUCGCCUAGUCCAACCGUCAACCUAUCACAUCCAUGGCCUCCAUCUCCCCACAUUACUUCAUUUCUUACAUGGACAGUUGAAGGGCUCAUUGUACUUCAAGUGUAUAUAAAUUAGUCCUUGUUGUCCAAUAUCUAAUUUCUCUAAUUUCCUUGCAGUACUUAAGAGGAGACUGUAAACAGGAGGGCGACCAAUUUUCUUCACAUAAUAAAAGAAUCACAGGUUUGUAGAGGUUGGAAGCG